UACGUAGGGUCCGAGCGUUGUCCGGAAUUACUGGGCGUAAGGAGCUCGUAGGUGGUUUGUCGCGUUGUUCGUGAAAACUCACAGCUCAACUGUGGGCGUGCGGGCGAUACGGGCAGACUUGAGUACUGCAGGGGAGACCGGAAUUCCUGGUGUAGCGGUGGAAUGCGCAGAUAUCAGGAGGAACACCGGUGGCGAAGGCGGGUCUCUGGGCCGAUACUGACGCUGAGGAGCGAAAGCGUGGGGAGCGAACAGG
Molecule: ribosomal RNA, 253 nt
Filed under: uncultured bacterium
Lineage: Bacteria
Description: partial 16S ribosomal RNA
Rfam family: Bacterial small subunit ribosomal RNA
Source: RNAcentral